UAACUGUGCAAAGGUAGCAUAAUCAAUAGUUUUUUAAUUGAAGGCUUGUAUGAAGGGUUGGACAAAGAAUAAUCUGUUUUUAUUUUUUUUUUUGAAUUUAACUUUUAAGUGAAAAGGCUUAAAUAAAUUUAAGGGACGAUAAGACCCUAUAAAUCUUUAUAUUAUUUUGUUUUUUAGUAAAUAAUAAAGUAAAUAGUUUAAUAAAACAAAAAAUAUUUUGUUGGGGUGAUGAAAAUAUAAUUAUUAACUGUUUUAAAAUUUAAACAAAGUUGUUUGGUAAAAAUAAUAAAUCCUUUAUAUAUAUAAAAAAUUUAAGUUACUUUAGGGAUAACAGCGUUAUUUUUUUUGAGAGUUCAUUUCGAAAAAAAAGUUUGCCACCUCGAUGUUGAAUUAAAAUUUCUUUGUGGAGCAGGUGCCCCAAAAAAAAGUCUGUUCGACUUUUAAAUUUUUACC
This 453-nucleotide ribosomal RNA is filed under the name Sadayoshia edwardsii. RNAcentral describes it as "partial 16S ribosomal RNA". The stretch from base 327 to 453 matches the Rfam family "Bacterial large subunit ribosomal RNA", at positions 2473 to 2600 of the family's 2925-position model. Lineage: Eukaryota; Metazoa; Arthropoda; Malacostraca; Decapoda; Munididae. The record is from RNAcentral.